RNAcentral lists this ribosomal RNA (541 nucleotides) under Lactobacillus delbrueckii subsp. bulgaricus. RNAcentral's name for it is "partial 23S ribosomal RNA". It matches the Rfam family "Bacterial large subunit ribosomal RNA", at positions 1 to 605 of the family's 2925-position model. Lineage: Bacteria; Bacillati; Bacillota; Bacilli; Lactobacillales; Lactobacillaceae. The record is from RNAcentral.
UUGCAAGGUCAAGUGAAGAAGGGCGCACGGUGAAUGCCUUGGCACUGGAAGCCGAUGAAGGACGCGACUAACCGCGAAAGUCUUCGGGGAGCCGUAAGUAGGCUUUGAUCCGGAGGUCUCCGAAUGGGGGAACCCAGCAUGUGCAGACAUGCUAUCCUUAAGUGAAUACAUAGCUUAAGGAGGGAACACGCAGUGAACUGAAACAUCUAAGUAGCUGCAGGAAGAGAAAGAAAUAUCGAUUUCCCAAGUAGCGGCGAGCGAACAGGAAAGAGCCCAAACCGGCAGAUUUAUCUGCCGGGGUUGUAGGACUGAGACAUGGCACUUCAGAGGAAGGCCUAUCAGUAUCCUGAGUAGGGCGGGACACGUGAAAUCCCGCUUGAAUCCGCGAGGACCAUCUCGCAAGGCUAAAUACUAACCAGUGACCGAUAGUGAACCAGUACCGUGAGGGAAAGGUGAAAAGAACCCCGGGAGGGGAGUGAAAGAGAACCUGAAACCGUGUGCCUACAAGUAGUCAGAGCCCGUUAACGGGUAAUGGCGUGCC